Molecule: ribosomal RNA, 700 nt
Filed under: Actinomycetes bacterium
Lineage: Bacteria; Bacillati; Actinomycetota; Actinomycetes
Description: bacterial SSU rRNA
Rfam family: Bacterial small subunit ribosomal RNA
Source: RNAcentral
GGCGAACGGGUGAGUAACACGUGAGCAACCUGCCCCUGACUCUGGGAUAAGCGCUGGAAACGGCGUCUAAUACUGGAUAUGUGACGUGAUCGCAUGGUCUGCGUCUGGAAAGAAUUUCGGUUGGGGAUGGGCUCGCGGCCUAUCAGCUUGUUGGUGAGGUAAUGGCUCACCAAGGCGUCGACGGGUAGCCGGCCUGAGAGGGUGACCGGCCACACUGGGACUGAGACACGGCCCAGACUCCUACGGGAGGCAGCAGUGGGGAAUAUUGCACAAUGGGCGCAAGCCUGAUGCAGCAACGCCGCGUGAGGGAUGACGGCCUUCGGGUUGUAAACCUCUUUUAGCAGGGAAGAAGCGAAAGUGACGGUACCUGCAGAAAAAGCGCCGGCUAACUACGUGCCAGCAGCCGCGGUAAUACGUAGGGCGCAAGCGUUAUCCGGAAUUAUUGGGCGUAAAGAGCUCGUAGGCGGUUUGUCGCGUCUGCUGUGAAAUCCGGAGGCUCAACCUCCGGCCUGCAGUGGGUACGGGCAGACUAGAGUGCGGUAGGGGAGAUUGGAAUUCCUGGUGUAGCGGUGGAAUGCGCAGAUAUCAGGAGGAACACCGAUGGCGAAGGCAGAUCUCUGGGCCGUAACUGACGCUGAGGAGCGAAAGGGUGGGGAGCAAACAGGCUUAGAUACCCUGGUAGUCCACCCCGUAAACGUUG